UUAGCAAAAAUAUCUUUGAUUUUCAAAUAUCAAGUAUAUAACUAUUUUUUUGAUUGAUUUUUAAUUGUAUUUUUUGAUUAAAUUAUUGUAUUAUAAUGUUUAAGUAAAUAUUUUUUGUGAUGUUUGAAUUUGUGAUGUUCGUAUACUUAACCUAGAUGAUAUUGAUGUUUAACAAUUUAUUGUUUUCUGGAAAUAAAAAAUAAUGAUAUAUCAAAA
This 216-nucleotide long non-coding RNA is filed under the name Brassica rapa (field mustard). RNAcentral describes it as "long non-coding RNA (BRAP_LNC004154)". Lineage: Eukaryota; Viridiplantae; Streptophyta; Magnoliopsida; Brassicales; Brassicaceae. The record is from RNAcentral.